GACGAACGCUGGCGGCGUGCCUAAUACAUGCAAGUAGAACGCUGAAGGAGGAGCUUGCUCUUCUGGAUGAGUUGCGAACGGGUGAGUAACGCGUAGGUAACCUGCCUGGUAGUGGGGGAUAACUAUUGGAAACGAUAGCUAAUACCGCAUAAUAACAGUUGUUGCAUGACAACUGUUUGAAAGGUGCAAUUGCAUCACUACCAGAUGGACCUGCGUUGUAUUAGCUAGUUGGUGGGGUAACGGCUCACCAAGGCGAGGAUACAUAGCCGACCGGAGAGGGUGAUCGGCCACACUGGGACGGAGACACGGCCCAGACGCCUACGGGAGGCAGCAGUAGGGAAUCGUCGGCAAUGGACGAAAGUCUGACCGAGCAACGCCGCGGGAGGGAAGAAGGUUGUCGGAUCGUAAAGCUCGGUUGUAAGAGAAGAACGAGUGUGAGAGUGGAAAGUUCACACUGUGACGGUAUCUUACCAGAAAGGGACGGCUAACUACGUG
Molecule: ribosomal RNA, 495 nt
Filed under: uncultured bacterium
Lineage: Bacteria
Description: partial 16S ribosomal RNA
Rfam family: Bacterial small subunit ribosomal RNA
Source: RNAcentral